Molecule: non-coding RNA, 21 nt
Filed under: Arabidopsis thaliana (thale cress)
Lineage: Eukaryota; Viridiplantae; Streptophyta; Magnoliopsida; Brassicales; Brassicaceae
Source: RNAcentral
AAAUUCGAGUGGGUUUUCCAG